Macaca mulatta (Rhesus monkey) is the source of this 310-nucleotide non-coding RNA. Lineage: Eukaryota; Metazoa; Chordata; Mammalia; Primates; Cercopithecidae. The record is from RefSeq and is a predicted model, not a curated record.
UCUCCUGGCUCAGCCUCCUGAGCAGCUGGGAUUACAGAACUGAUGCUUCAGGAAGAUGCCCUGAAUGUCACUGGUGUGAAUCACAAUGAGGUAUUUAAAACGCAGCAGUUCAUUGGGAUUUAUUUUACAAAAAUAACAUUGAAGAUGAGUAAGAAUUACUGUUUCAAUUUGAAGAAUAAACCCCUGUCAACCAAAGCAUGGCAACAGUAUGUUUUUUUCAAAAAAAAAUCCAUCUUGACUAUGUAAUUUUCCACCCAAAAUAUGACAGAUGGCUUUACUUAAAUAAAUGACUGCACUAUGUAAGAUCAUA